RNAcentral lists this ribosomal RNA (250 nucleotides) under uncultured bacterium. RNAcentral describes it as "partial 16S ribosomal RNA". It matches the Rfam family "Bacterial small subunit ribosomal RNA", at positions 523 to 769 of the family's 1533-position model. The record is from RNAcentral.
AUACGGAGGGUGCAAGCGUUAAUCGGGAAUAACUGGGCGUAAAGCGCACGCAGGCGGUUAGAUAAGUCAGAUGUGAAAUCCCCGGGCUCAACCGUGGGAACUGGCAUUUGAAACUGUCUGACUAGAGUCUUGUAGAGGGGGGUAGAAUUCCAGGUGUAGCGGUGAAAUGCGUAGAGAUCUGGAGGAAUACCGGUGGCGAAGGCGGCCCCCUGGACAAAGACUGACGCUCAGGUGCGAAAGCGUGGGGAGC